RNAcentral lists this ribosomal RNA (2614 nucleotides) under Escherichia coli. Its description in RNAcentral is "partial 23S ribosomal RNA". It matches the Rfam family "Bacterial large subunit ribosomal RNA". Lineage: Bacteria; Pseudomonadati; Pseudomonadota; Gammaproteobacteria; Enterobacterales; Enterobacteriaceae. The record is from RNAcentral.
GGUUAAGCGACUAAGCGUACACGGUGGAUGCCCUGGCAGUCAGAGGCGAUGAAGGACGUGCUAAUCUGCGAUAAGCGUCGGUAAGGUGAUAUGAACCGUUAUAACCGGCGAUUUCCGAAUGGGGAAACCCAGUGUGAUUCGUCACACUAUCAUUAACUGAAUCCAUAGGUUAAUGAGGCGAACCGGGGGAACUGAAACAUCUAAGUACCCCGAGGAAAAGAAAUCAACCGAGAUUCCCCCAGUAGCGGCGAGCGAACGGGGAGGAGCCCAGAGCCUGAAUCAGUGUGUGUGUUAGUGGAAGCGUCUGGAAAGGCGCGCGAUACAGGGUGACAGCCCCGUACACAAAAAUGCACAUAUUGUGAGCUCGAUGAGUAGGGCGGGACACGUGGUAUCCUGUCUGAAUAUGGGGGGACCAUCCUCCAAGGCUAAAUACUCCUGACUGACCGAUAGUGAACCAGUACCGUGAGGGAAAGGCGAAAAGAACCCCGGCGAGGGGAGUGAAAAAGAACCUGAAACCGUGUACGUACAAGCAGUGGGAGCACGCUUAGGCGUGUGACUGCGUACCUUUUGUAUAAUGGGUCAGCGACUUAUAUUCUGUAGCAAGGUUAACCGAAUAGGGGAGCCGAAGGGAAACCGAGUCUUAACUGGGCGUUAAGUUGCAGGGUAUAGACCCGAAACCCGGUGAUCUAGCCAUGGGCAGGUUGAAGGUUGGGUAACACUAACUGGAGGACCGAACCGACUAAUGUUGAAAAAUUAGCGGAUGACUUGUGGCUGGGGGUGAAAGGCCAAUCAAACCGGGAGAUAGCUGGUUCUCCCCGAAAGCUAUUUAGGUAGCGCCUCGUGAAUUCAUCUCCGGGGGUAGAGCACUGUUUCGGCAAGGGGGUCAUCCCGACUUACCAACCCGAUGCAAACUGCGAAUACCGGAGAAUGUUAUCACGGGAGACACACGGCGGGUGCUAACGUCCGUCGUGAAGAGGGAAACAACCCAGACCGCCAGCUAAGGUCCCAAAGUCAUGGUUAAGUGGGAAACGAUGUGGGAAGGCCCAGACAGCCAGGAUGUUGGCUUAGAAGCAGCCAUCAUUUAAAGAAAGCGUAAUAGCUCACUGGUCGAGUCGGCCUGCGCGGAAGAUGUAACGGGGCUAAACCAUGCACCGAAGCUGCGGCAGCGACGCUUAUGCGUUGUUGGGUAGGGGAGCGUUCUGUAAGCCUGCGAAGGUGUGCUGUGAGGCAUGCUGGAGGUAUCAGAAGUGCGAAUGCUGACAUAAGUAACGAUAAAGCGGGUGAAAAGCCCGCUCGCCGGAAGACCAAGGGUUCCUGUCCAACGUUAAUCGGGGCAGGGUGAGUCGACCCCUAAGGCGAGGCCGAAAGGCGUAGUCGAUGGGAAACAGGUUAAUAUUCCUGUACUUGGUGUUACUGCGAAGGGGGGACGGAGAAGGCUAUGUUGGCCGGGCGACGGUUGUCCCGGUUUAAGCGUGUAGGCUGGUUUUCCAGGCAAAUCCGGAAAAUCAAGGCUGAGGCGUGAUGACGAGGCACUACGGUGCUGAAGCAACAAAUGCCCUGCUUCCAGGAAAAGCCUCUAAGCAUCAGGUAACAUCAAAUCGUACCCCAAACCGACACAGGUGGUCAGGUAGAGAAUACCAAGGCGCUUGAGAGAACUCGGGUGAAGGAACUAGGCAAAAUGGUGCCGUAACUUCGGGAGAAGGCACGCUGAUAUGUAGGUGAAGUCCCUUGCGGAUGGAGCUGAAAUCAGUCGAAGAUACCAGCUGGCUGCAACUGUUUAUUAAAAACACAGCACUGUGCAAACACGAAAGUGGACGUAUACGGUGUGACGCCUGCCCGGUGCCGGAAGGUUAAUUGAUGGGGUUAGCGCAAGCGAAGCUCUUGAUCGAAGCCCCGGUAAACGGCGGCCGUAACUAUAACGGUCCUAAGGUAGCGAAAUUCCUUGUCGGGUAAGUUCCGACCUGCACGAAUGGCGUAAUGAUGGCCAGGCUGUCUCCACCCGAGACUCAGUGAAAUUGAACUCGCUGUGAAGAUGCAGUGUACCCGCGGCAAGACGGAAAGACCCCGUGAACCUUUACUAUAGCUUGACACUGAACAUUGAGCCUUGAUGUGUAGGAUAGGUGGGAGGCUUUGAAGUGUGGACGCCAGUCUGCAUGGAGCCGACCUUGAAAUACCACCCUUUAAUGUUUGAUGUUCUAACGUGGACCCGUAAUCCGGGUUGCGGACAGUGUCUGGUGGGUAGUUUGACUGGGGCGGUCUCCUCCUAAAGAGUAACGGAGGAGCACGAAGGUUGGCUAAUCCUGGUCGGACAUCAGGAGGUUAGUGCAAUGGCAUAAGCCAGCUUGACUGCGAGCGUGACGGCGCGAGCAGGUGCGAAAGCAGGUCAUAGUGAUCCGGUGGUUCUGAAUGGAAGGGCCAUCGCUCAACGGAUAAAAGGUACUCCGGGGAUAACAGGCUGAUACCGCCCAAGAGUUCAUAUCGACGGCGGUGUUUGGCACCUCGAUGUCGGCUCAUCACAUCCUGGGGCUGAAGUAGGUCCCAAGGGUAUGGCUGUUCGCCAUUUAAAGUGGUACGCGAGCUGGGUUUAGAACGUCGUGAGACAGUUCGGUCCCUA